This 16-nucleotide small RNA is filed under the name Arabidopsis thaliana (thale cress). RNAcentral describes it as "ATSL225360". Lineage: Eukaryota; Viridiplantae; Streptophyta; Magnoliopsida; Brassicales; Brassicaceae. The record is from RNAcentral.
GUUUAUUCUCUGUUUU